RNAcentral lists this ribosomal RNA (205 nucleotides) under uncultured bacterium. RNAcentral describes it as "partial 16S ribosomal RNA". It matches the Rfam family "Bacterial small subunit ribosomal RNA", at positions 568 to 774 of the family's 1533-position model. The record is from RNAcentral.
CGCGUAGGCGGCCGCGCAGGCGGGGGGUCAAAUCCCGGGGCUCAACCCCGGGCCGCCCCCGAACCGCGCGGCUUGGGUCCGGCAGGGGAGGGUGGAACGCCCGGUGUAGCGGUGGAAUGCGCAGAUAUCGGGCGGAACACCGGUGGCGAAGGCGGCCCUCUGGGCCGGCACCGACGCUGAGGCGCGAGAGCUAGGGGAGCGAACA